AUGCUUAAAAUAGAUCUUGCUAAAGCUUUUGAUCGUUUGGAAUGGAACUUCAUAGUUUCUGCCUUGACACGUAAAGGGCUGCAUGGUCAUUUCAUUAAUUUGAUUCAUGCGUGUAUCUCCUCACCUACUUUCUCUGUGCUUAUUAAUGGUCAGCCCUCUCAAAAAUUUAAGAGCUCCAGAGGUAUCAGACAGGGCUGUCCCAUGUCGCCUUAUUUGUUUGUUUUGGCCAUUAAUGAGCUCUCCAUUAUGCUGAAUGAAGCUUUGAGGGCCAAUCAUUUACAAGGUAUUUCACUUGGACCAAAUUGCCCUUCUGUGCAUUCUUUGCUGUUUGCAGAUGAUCUCCUUGUGUGUGGACAGGCCACUUGUCAGGAAGCUCAGGCUAUGGCCAACCUCUCAUCAUUUCUGUGCUAGCUCUGGUCAAACACCCAAUUGGAACAAAUCUGCUAUUCUUUUCAGUUCCCAUGUUCCCCAACAGGUUAUGGAUGA
Molecule: ribosomal RNA, 486 nt
Filed under: Triticum aestivum (bread wheat)
Lineage: Eukaryota; Viridiplantae; Streptophyta; Magnoliopsida; Poales; Poaceae
Description: partial small subunit ribosomal RNA
Source: RNAcentral